AUGGCAUCUCAAGUUGAGGCAGGACCAAGUCCCCACACACACAUCAAGGGUGGGCUAGGAGGUAACAAAGCAUGGUGAACAGGUUCCCAAAAGCCAGCUAAGCACACCAGGGACAGGUAAUGAUCUCAUUGCUAGGAGCCUCACAGGCAGACCAAGCCACACAACUGUCACACACAAACAGAGGGUCUAGUUGGUCCCAUGCAGGCUCCCUAUACUGAGAAGAUAACCUCCAUUUGUGGAAUAUUUCAUGAACACAUCGAUUUCAUUUUGUUGAACAUGCUGAUUCAUGAAGGAUAUAAAUCCUUUAAUGAAUAGGACUGUGUUCAGAGUUCAUGAAUAGGACUGUGUUCAGAGUUUAUGAAAUAGCCAGGUGAUAUUUGUAAAUCUUCCUAACAUAUUUCCACAUCAUCAUUUUGGUUUAUUUGAAAGAAGUGUGACAAAGAUGGCAAAGAUUUCUGAGCAGAUUAUGGCACUGUGUUUCUCUUCCUAAAGAUACUUCAGUAGAUAUCCCUGAAAUCCUGAUUGACUCUGUGCUGCAUAAUGCACAUUGAUAAUUUAUAAUCAACUUCACUUUUUGUAGAAGAAUCCAGAUUUCCUGGAGCCCAGUGAGACCCAUAAACCUAUCUGAAAGACUCCAACACACAAGACCUUGAUAUUCUCUGGAUACUGUGUCACUGUCAUUGUUCAGAGAUUGUGAGCUCAUAAGAGACUCUCCAAACACUGUCUCUUUGGAGACACCCACAGAAAACUCACCAUCAGCUUUGGGAAUGAGCUAUCAAAAAAUGUUCUGGAAAAGUUCUUGUCUCCCCAAGCUAGAGCUGUCAUCGUCACUUGAAGAAGCUGAAAACUUGCAGUUCAGAAGGGAGAUAAGGUCACAGCCACAGACCUUUAUUUCACAGUAGAGAUACCUCCAUCGUAAUGGUGCUGGUUUUCCAGGAUGCAACAAAGUGCUCACUGAACAGAGAAGGUUCUGCACAGGGAAGGAGUCAGGCUGGCUAGUCAGUGAGCCCUACGGAUCUUCCUGAGACCACCAAUCUAGUACUCAGAAGACAGAUGUGUGCUACUACACACAGCCUUCACAUAUACAAAGCAAGGACUGUACCAAAGCUUUGAACCCAGGAACAUGAACAUUCUAGGGGUAUAUAGAGACUGGAAGUUUUGAACAAAAGAUUGUGCCUCGCUCCCUCCCCUUCCCUCCACACGCUUCUUUAUUCUGCAGAAGGAUGCUAGGAUGAUGCCUGACAUUUCCCUGGAAGUCUGAAGCCAGAAUGUUUUAUAUUGAUGUUAUGAAGCAAGAUGCAUAAUCGGACUAUCAUCUAUACUGCCAAGGUGCCCCGCUCUGUUAUCUCUGAACCGUUGGUUAAAAGAACCAAUUCUUCUCUAGACAGUAAAAACACAGCCGCUCCAUCCCACGCGUUAAAAUAGAGAACCAAGCAUUGAAGGGCCGAGGACGUGGUCCAAUUGGUAGAGUGCUAGCCUCGCAUGUAUGAGUCCCUGGGCUCCAUCCCCAGUAUCACAUAA
Mesocricetus auratus (golden hamster) is the source of this 1521-nucleotide long non-coding RNA. RefSeq lists it as uncharacterized. The transcript is spliced from 3 exons. The record is from RefSeq and is a predicted model, not a curated record. NCBI's taxonomy places the organism in Eukaryota, Metazoa, Chordata, Mammalia, Rodentia, Cricetidae.